GAUGAACGCUGGCGGCGUGCCUAAUACAUGCGAGUCGAGCGAACAGAUGAGGAGCUUGCUCCUCUGACGUUAGCGGCGGACGGGUGAGUAACACGUGGAUAACCUACCUAUAAGACUGGGAUAACUUCGGGAAACCGGAGCUAAUACCGGAUAAUAUAUUGAACCGCAUGGUUCAAUAGUGAAAGACGGUUUUGCUGUCACGUAUAGAUGGAUCCGCGCCGCAUUAGCUAGUUGGUAAGGUAACGGCUUACCAAGGCAACGAUGCGUAGCCGACCUGAGAGGGUGAUCGGCCAAACUGGAACUGAGACACGGUCCAGACCCUUACGGGAGGCAGCAGUAGGGAAUCUUCCGCAAUGGGCGAAAGCCUGACGGAGCAACGCCGCGUGAGUGAUGAAGGUCUUCGGAUCGUAAAACUCUGUUAUUAGGGAAGAACAAAUGUGUAAGUAACUAUGCACGUCUUGACGGUACCUAAUCAGAAAGCCACGGCUAACUACGU
This 496-nucleotide ribosomal RNA is filed under the name uncultured bacterium. RNAcentral describes it as "partial 16S ribosomal RNA". It matches the Rfam family "Bacterial small subunit ribosomal RNA", at positions 28 to 506 of the family's 1533-position model. The record is from RNAcentral.